GAGCGGCGAACGGGUGAGUAACACGUGAGUAACCUGCCCUUGGCUCUGGGAUAAGCCCGGGAAACUGGGUCUAAUACCGGAUAUGACCACUGGACGCAUGUUCUUGGUGGUGGAAAGUUUUUCGGCUGGGGAUGGACUCGCGGUCUAUCAGCUUGUUGGUGGGGUGAUGGCCUACCAAGGCGACGACGGAUAGCCGGCCUGAGAGGGUGACCGGCCACACUGGGACUGAGACACGGCCCAGACUCCUACGGGAGGCAGCAGUGGGGAAUAUUGCGCAAUGGGCGGAAGCCUGACGCAGCGACGCCGCGUGGGGGAUGAAGGCCUUCGGGUUGUAAACCUCUUUCACCACCGACGAAGCUAACGUGACGGUAGGUGGGGAAGAAGCGCCGGCUAACUACGUGCCAGCAGCCGCGGUAAUACGUAGGGCGCAAGCGUUGUCCGGAAUUAUUGGGCGUAAAGAGCUCGUAGGUGGUUUGUCGCGUCUGCCGUGAAAACCCGAGGCUUAACCUCGGGCUGGCGGUGGAUACGGGCAGACUAGAGGUAGGUAGGGGAGAACGGAAUUCCC
Molecule: ribosomal RNA, 565 nt
Filed under: Actinomadura sp. 428G07
Lineage: Bacteria; Bacillati; Actinomycetota; Actinomycetes; Streptosporangiales; Thermomonosporaceae
Description: bacterial SSU rRNA
Rfam family: Bacterial small subunit ribosomal RNA
Source: RNAcentral